Molecule: long non-coding RNA, 474 nt
Organism: Haliotis rufescens (red abalone)
Lineage: Eukaryota; Metazoa; Mollusca; Gastropoda; Lepetellida; Haliotidae
Exons: 2
Source: RefSeq, a predicted model, not a curated record
UCGGUCUGACGCGACCCGUAAUGGGGGCAGCCUGCAGUUAAUUGUGUCUGAACCAGAAUAUCCAGAGAUGUCUAUUUGGAGGAAGAUCCAGGCCAUCUGGGUACGGUGACAUUAUCAACCAAGUCACCUUAUCUGACCACUCAUCCAUUUCACAUCUUACAACCUGCAUGGGUUGCUGGGGCCCAACUCUAACUGGAUUAUCCUCCAAUUUGUUGAAUGGCCAUGUGGACGGAGGUGGUGAGCUUCUGGUUGUGCACGUUGACCACCGCCCCCCGCAGCAGGAAGAGGCUGAUCAGGUCAGUUUGUUGGUGCAGCACGGCCAUGUGGAGGGGAGAAUAGCCAUUGCUGGACUGCGUGUUCACAGACAACUCGCUGGAUGACCGGGGGCUACUCUGGAACCAAAGUUUACAGAGGUCAAGUUGGAUAGAAAACAUGUUUUCUGUACUGGUUGAAGCAAAUAAAUUGCUAUAUUAA